GCAGGAAUGGCGGAACUGGCAGACGCGCUAGACUUAGGAUCUAGUGUCAUUGACGUGGGGGUUCAAGUCCUCUUUCCUGCACCA
This 84-nucleotide transfer RNA is filed under the name Parvimonas micra. Its description in RNAcentral is "tRNA-Leu (TAG) (tRNA-Leu-TAG-1-1)". It matches the Rfam family "tRNA". Rfam says of the family: Transfer RNA (tRNA) molecules are approximately 80 nucleotides in length. Their secondary structure includes four short double-helical elements and three loops (D, anti-codon, and T loops). The record is from RNAcentral. Lineage: Bacteria; Bacillati; Bacillota; Tissierellia; Tissierellales; Peptoniphilaceae. RNAcentral also lists the same sequence under 16 other names.